GGCCAUAUAGCUCAGUGGUAGAGCAAACGGCUGUUAACCGUUUGGUCGCAGGUUCGAUCCCUGCUGUGGCCGCCA
This 75-nucleotide transfer RNA is filed under the name Microbacterium esteraromaticum. RNAcentral's name for it is "tRNA-Asn". It matches the Rfam family "tRNA". Rfam says of the family: Transfer RNA (tRNA) molecules are approximately 80 nucleotides in length. RNAcentral also lists the same sequence under 7 other names. The record is from RNAcentral. Lineage: Bacteria; Bacillati; Actinomycetota; Actinomycetes; Micrococcales; Microbacteriaceae.